UAAUAAAUUGGUGUGGUGACUCAGUUACCCUUGCAUUUAUUUAAAAACGACUAAAUGGAAAUAAAAAUGGUUAUUGUGUUAAAUGUAUUAGGCUAAUUAUUUACGUGAUAACGUUCCAAAGAAAUUCAAAAUCUCAGUCAGCUUUCCGUAUGAAAACCAACCAUUUAAACCAUUCAAACACAGGAUACUAAAGAAAAGAAGGGAAAAGGUCAGUUAUUAAAUAUCAUAUACCACACAUUGCGGGAACAAAAGGUUAGGUUCUGUAGUUCGACAUUAAAGCUACGGAUUAUAGUUACAGGCAUGAGCAUGCUUUGCCAUUUCCUUCAUCAGAUAGGCAACUCAUCCAAAACCUAUACACACAUCAAUCCUCACAAGCAAUCGUCCAUUACAUCUAGUUGCUCCAGACAAUGGAACAGCAAUGUGCCCAGGGCGGUUUGUAUGCACGAUAGCAAAGGGGCUGAGUUAAACUCUACCAGACUACCACAGGACACACCUACCGACAACAUAAUUUACAGCCCUGGCACACGGUUAAAUCCUAUAUUUACAACGAAAACAUCCAUCAAAUCGACGAAACUAUGCUGAGUGUUUGGACCCUCCUUGCAGCUGCUAUUUUUGCAGGGCCAGUCUCUGCAAUAUCUCGGAGGCGUAUAAUCCAUGGCAGUCAGUUGACUCUGGAUCUUCCCGAAAGGACAAAGAGGUUGCAUUUUGCUACUGCUGAUGAGACUGAUCAAUUUACUAUCUGGGAACAUAAAGGAAUCUCUCACUGGCCCAGUAAACCCAGUAAAGGUCAAGUGACUAGCGCUAGUAAUGGCUGGACUUUCAGAAUCCCACAUGUUACAUUUGACGAUGAGGGAACCUACACCUUACUCAAUGACUUUGGGGCAACCAUCUCCAGUUAUACAGUGAAGGUCGACAUCAACAGAGAUAUCAUUGAGCGUAUCGCAGGUGAAAAACUGACCAUACCACUACUAGGACUCAAGCAAAGUGAUGCCACGCUUCACUUUUUUGGCAAUUAUUCAUCUGUCACCCUGGUGGAUAAUGGAUCUCCUGUGGGCAAGAAUCAUCCAGACUACGUUAACCGGCUUAAAGUGACCAGCGAAUCGAUCCAGGUUCUCAAUGUCAGUGUGUCAGAUUUGGGCAGAUACGAGCUCACCAAUUAUAAAGGCAGACUUGUCGCAAACAAUACAAUGAUACUAGUGGGUAAGAAAAGACUUUCUUCAAUAUGUUUCAAAAUUUUACACACACACACAUUUACUUUUUUUAGCUAAAUAGGGACACUGCAUAGACUUCCAUAGUUUAUAUAUGCAGCUAUUUAUAAAUACUAUAACCUAACCCUAACCUUACCAGAAAACUUUCUGCAUUUUUACAAUUAAAAAAAAUAAAAACUGCAUUUACUUUUAUUUUUAUGCCAUUUUUACAAAUGAGGGCGCCCCCAAAAGAAGCUUUUGGGGAUUUUUGUCAGGUUUAGCUAACUUCUGGGUACAAAUUUGUGUUAAAGGGUUAGUUCACCCAAAAAUUAAUAUUCUAUCAUUAAUUAGUCACCCUCAUUGUCACGAUCACCGUCUGUUCCUGUCAGUUCCUGGACUCCAUUUCCCAUAAUCCUCCCUGCCAAUCACAUGCACACUCCACACCAAUCACCAAUUGCCACACACACCUGUAGAUCAUUCUCUGGACUAUUUAAGACUCACUCACACACUACCUCAGGGCGAAGUCUUGUUAACUGUUGUUGCAUUUCUGAGCGUUUAUUAUCCUGUCUGCCUGCCUGCUCGUUCCUGUUCCUGCCUGUUACCCGUUAUCGACCAGUUGCUGCCUGCCUUUGAUCCUUGCCUGGUAUUCUGUUCUAUCAACAUUCAUAUACCCCUAGUACGGGUCUUAUAGCUCUGCUGCUGCUUGGAAUUCCUGGUGGAAUCUGCUUCUGCUGCAGAAAGAGAAUCUGCAAAAGUUGCCGGACCAACAAAUCAUACACGCACACAGUGGAGUCCAACACCCUUAAUACUGUACCAGUGUCUAUACCUUGCAGCAACACAGUGAUUGGUCCUGGAGGUCCUAUAGGUCCUGGAGGCCCUGACCAGGGCUACAUCGCUGGUUAUCCGCCUCAUCCAGAUCAAGGUCAGAUUCAUUAUCCUCCACCACCAGAGUGGAACGGACAACCUGCUGUUUCUCCCAGCCCUGGCUUUCAACCUGCAUAUGUGCCACAAAACCCUGUCUAUCCUCCUGACUUUGGAUCUGGAGUUCCCCCCGCUCAGCCUCCACAGUGGAAUGCCCCUCCCACCCAGUACAACCCAUCUGCAGCUGUGAGCUAUAUGCCAGUGAUGAACAGCACUCCUCCUGGACCUGAAGUCACAGGGAUGAAGAUGAAUGAACCAUCUCCAAACGCACCACUGCUCACACCUCAGCCGGAGUCUCAACAGUCUGCUAUGGGCAGCCUUUCCAUGGAUAUCCUUAACUCCGGUGACUCUAGUGUCCAGUUUGACAUUAACAAAGGAAAGUCUUCUGGCAACAACUUCCUGUAGUUCCUCUAAAAUACUGAAUUAUCCCUGUAAGGGAAAUAGAAACAAACACUUAAAUGUUGAUUAGAUUCAUACAAAACUUAAGCCUUUAAAAUUAAUGGUUCCAUAUUUUGAAAGGACAGGACAUCAUUCACUCUGGUGGAUUAUAAUAUUCAAAUGUUUAUUUUAAACUUUAUAUUGAUGAUUACCUUAAACAGAUAAGUCAGUGUUGGUCAUUAUCACUGUAAAUAAUAAUAAAAAUAAUAAUUUCCAUCUAGAGAAUUAAUAGGACUUAAACACAGCUACUUCAAUAUUUGUAUCAUUACACAUUCUUUCAAGACUCAACCUAGCAUAAGAGGAAUAGAAGGAUAUUAUAAUUUAAAUACCUGUAAAAUCACUGUUAACACUCUUCUCCUUUGAAAAAGAAUGUGUAAAGAAGAGUAUUUUUUCUUACUGCUUAAUGUCACUCUCUUGGUAAGAAAGAAGCUGUUCAAUGAUACCAAAGAUAUUUCACAGUUACAAAGCUACUACCAUAUUGUCAGCAAGAUGCAGCAAAAUGUUUUCAUAUUAUACUCGCUGCGCAUGCUACAUGGACAAAAGCAUGAGGAUUUACCUUCUGAAUGGGCUUCCAAUGACAACCAUUGCUGACAGAUGUGUAUAUUGAUGCAGCAAAGCAAUAUCCAUAGACAAACACUGGCAGGCAUGUUAUGGCCUGUUCUGAAGCUUACUUUCAAAAGGUUAGUUUACCCAAAAAAAAAAAACGGGUAAAAAUGCUGUCAUCUACUCCUCCCUCAUUUCAUUCCAAAUCUGUAUGGCUGAAAUAUAAAGAAGAUAUUUUGGGGGGGGGGGGUUUGGGGAGAGGAGUGUUUUUUGUCCAUACAAUGGAAGUCAGUGGGCAGUUAGGCACAAGUACUGUUUGGUUACCAACAUUCUUUAAACUAUCUUAGGGUUCCACAGAAGAAAGAAAUGCAUACAGGUUUGAAAUGACAUGAGCGAGAGCAAAUGAUGACAGAAUUUUCAUUUUCUGGGUAAACUAUUUCUUGAAGGUGACACUGAGCUACUAUUUUCACUUUAUCCAAAUUCUCCAACAGUCAGCCUUAAAAAGCCAUAUUCUACACUUUUGUGUAGAACUACAUGGAAUGGAACACAUGUACACAUUACUAUUUAUGCAUGUAAGUGAAUUCAAAUGUUUUAAUGUAGUUUUAGGGAUUUUUCUCAACUACCAUGAAUAGCCUGGCAGGAGCUACAUUUACUUAAGCCAUUUACAUAGUGCUGUUAGCUGGAAUUAAACAACAAAUGCCUCAAACAACUAAACAUUUAUACUUGAAUCUUAUAUAUGUGUAAAAUCUUAGUGACGUUUUAUAGUAGGUUUCACGUUGUACCUUAAAAGGACAUAUCACAAUGGAUAUGGAAAUAUAAAAAGACCUACCAUUGUUCUGAAUUAAAAUACUGCUAUCAAUUUCUGCAUACAGGACUGUAUUUCUUACUGUUUAUAUUGUAUAUUCUUAUUACAUGUUCUCUGUAUUUUUUAUUUUGUCAGACAUCUAGAGCCAACUGGCAAAACCAUUUCCCUUGUUAUACCUGUAUGUUGCAUUAUCGGCAAACAAAAUGUUAUUUUAUUGUUAUAUGCUUUAAACUAUAAGAAGAAUGACAAUAAACAUGACUAUCGUAAUAAA
RNA transcript from Ctenopharyngodon idella (grass carp), 4165 nucleotides. RefSeq lists it as uncharacterized. The record is from RefSeq and is a predicted model, not a curated record. The transcript is spliced from 9 exons. NCBI's taxonomy places the organism in Eukaryota, Metazoa, Chordata, Actinopteri, Cypriniformes, Xenocyprididae.